GGCGCUAUGGUGUAGUUGGUUAACACGCCGCCCUCUCAAGGCGGAGACCACGAGUUCGAGCCUCGUUAGCGCUA
This 74-nucleotide transfer RNA is filed under the name Acidobacteriota bacterium. RNAcentral's name for it is "tRNA-Glu". It matches the Rfam family "tRNA". Rfam says of the family: Transfer RNA (tRNA) molecules are approximately 80 nucleotides in length. Their secondary structure includes four short double-helical elements and three loops (D, anti-codon, and T loops). Lineage: Bacteria; Pseudomonadati; Acidobacteriota. The record is from RNAcentral. RNAcentral also lists the same sequence under 2 other names.